RNAcentral lists this ribosomal RNA (855 nucleotides) under uncultured bacterium. Its description in RNAcentral is "bacterial SSU rRNA". It matches the Rfam family "Bacterial small subunit ribosomal RNA", at positions 28 to 896 of the family's 1533-position model. The record is from RNAcentral.
GACGAACGCUGGCGGCGUGCUUAACACAUGCAAGUCGAGCGAUGAAGUUUCUUCGGAAAUGGAUUAGCGGCGAACGGGUGAGGAACACGUGAAGAAUCUGCCCUCCACUUUGGGAUAACACCGGGAAACCGGUGUUAAUACCGAAUAUUGAAACAUAAGUGGCAUCACUGAGUUUUGAAAGAAUUUCGGUGGAGGAUGACUUCGCGGCCUAUCAGCUAGUUGGUGAGGUAAUGGCUCACCAAGGCAACGACGGGUAGCCGGCCUGAGAGGGCGACCGGCCACACUGGGACUGAGACACGGCCCAGACUCCUACGGGAGGCAGCAGUGGGGAAUAUUGGGCAAUGGAGGAAACUCUGACCCAGCGACGCCGCGUGCGGGAUGAAGGCCUUCGGGUUGUAAACCGCUUUCAGUAGGGAAGAAGCGAAAGUGACGGUACCUACAAAAGAAGCACCGGCUAACUAUGUGCCAGCAGCCGCGGUAAUACAUAGGGUGCAAGCGUUGUCCGGAAUUAUUGGGCGUAAAGAGCUCGUAGGUCGUUUGUUACGUCGGAUGUGAAAACCUGAGGCUCAACCUCAGGCCUGCAUUCGAUACGGGCAAACUAGAGUUUGGUAGGGGAGACUGGAAUUCCUGGUGUAGCGGUGGAAUGCGCAGAUAUCAGGAGGAACACCAAUGGCGAAGGCAGGUCUCUGGGCCAAUACUGACACUGAGGAGCGAAAGUCUGGGGAGCGAACAGGAUUAGAUACCCUGGUAGUCCAGACCGUAAACGGUGGGCACUAGUUGUGGGAACCUUCCACGGUUUCUGCGACGCAGCUAACGCAUUAAGUGCCCCGCCUGGGGAGUACGAUCGCAAGAUUA